CCUGGCUCAAGUAGGAUCUACCUAUCCAAGAUGGCGGUUCGCGGCGGCACAGGGUUUCCUCCGCUGUGUACAAUGGACUGGAGGGACAAAGAGCAUCAGUGGAAGAGGUGACGCUUCAUGCUGCGUGAGUCUUGCCUCACCUGUACAGUGAAUUGGUAUUCCCUAUCGCCUACAACCACAUCCUCAGCAUCAGCAGCAGCAGGCCGGCCAGUGCGCAUGCGUAGUUCAGUUGGCUGCGCGAGGGGGCGCUGUUGCAUAGGUCCGAGUCGCAGCAGUGGAUGCGCACGCCUGGCAGCUCCUGUUGUUGGCAGUGUCUGGACGUGGCACAGCCGCUGGUCAGGACGAUGCCCAGUGCCGCUGCAUGGAUGAAUGGAGAAGACGACAAGUCAGUCGCCGAGUCGUCGACUGCCUCAGCAGGAAAAAAGCUGCAGUAGGCAGCAAAUAGUGUAAGUCGGUAAUUAGCGGUUCAUUUACAUGUCAAACAAACGGCAUUAUUUGAGGAAAUACCUAUUGUGACUGACUAAAUUGGUUUAUGUAAUUGCAUAAACUACUCGUCUGAUAUCAAUGCACUUUUGAUACAAAUACAUUUUUGUUAUGAUAAAAAAAAGUGAAAAUGUUCACGGGAAAUGGAAGUCAAAUUCCGUUUUCGCAGAUUGUUUCAAGGUUAUAAUUAGCAUUUGGAAAAUUCCUAAAUCCAACCUGACGUCCACUGGACACAAGGAGCUCAGCACAAAGGACUUCUUUCAUAAUCUUUAUAAUUGAGAGUCCAGUCCCAAGGUAAGCGUCACAUGCCCCCAAUGUCAAAAUGCAUUUCCCCCUUUCUUUUAUUUGUUUUCUGACCUCUCAGGAGGUCAUGUUUUCCUCACCUCAGGUAUGUUUUUGUGCAGAUUCCUGGCAGCUGUUUUUUUCUUCUCGUUUUUAGAAACCUCAAUUUAUCCAAAGAUAUCGCCCAUGAAAUUUUCCACAACAUCUACUAACAACCCAGACUAAGCUCUGCUCUGACAUACAAAGAUGUCAAUUCAACAAACUUCCGUGACACAAAAUUCUAUUCAGAUUUCUUUUUCCAAAACACACAAAAAUCAGAUUCCACUCGGAAUAAAACGCAAAGAAGUGAAUUUAUGAACAGCGAAUCACGACUGCGACAUUUUAAGCCUUGGCGGAGGUCACGCUGAUUGCUGAUUUUGACAGUGUGUUUGUCAGUCGGUGUGAUGUUGUCAGCCUUGGUCUUAGCUUGCACUCUCUUAAAGGAGGAGAGAAAAGGUGCCUCAUCAGCCCCUCGGGCUUCCGGACGUCAAGCGAGGCAACAUCUGGAUGUGUGUGUGCGCGCAUCUCAGCAUCUGACCAUCACCGCCGCCCUGUUGAGGACAUCCUCCGUUUGACUUCACAUGGCACAACGAGGGGCCUCUCACGGACUCGGCAAGGCGACUAAAACGGCGGCGUUAUAAGCGGUGCUUGAAGCCCUUGUGUGAGUGGGUGCAGGUGAGCACCUCUGGGUUGGAGCAGCCCACGUCCACGUACCGCUGAUCUUGGAUGAUGUUGCAGCCAUAGCACUGCAGACCCUCUACUACGCGGGUAACAAAGAGAGAAAAGACAACUUGACAAGGUAAUGAUCAGGCCUGUUAUUGUGCCCCUAUUGAAGGAAGGCUAAACACAAUCAUCAUAAAUAAUCAUAAUAGAAUAGAAUUACUGCGGUAGAAAGCUUAACGAUACAGCGGGGGGGGGGGGGGGGUAACAUAAUAAGGAAGCUUAACAUAAUACCUUUUGUGGCCGAUAUUUUUCAUUAGUAGUAUUAUAUUGGUGUGUCUAUUCAUGCUAGGUGAUGAUCAAAUUGAGUAGUGCGCAAGCAUAAAUUCAUGAGGGGUGUGCCCCUGGAUCGGUUCAUAACGUGUCAGAACAUUGGCAAAAAUGUUCAUUGUCUAAUUUUAAUUCAACACAAAGAUAAUCAAUUCGCUUUCAGGGAGGACUAAAUAAAUCUGAUAAUAUUCUUGCGAUGCGGAAAUCCUCCACGCAUCUGAAUACAGCUUUUUAUUUAUUUUGUCUUUUUUGGGGGGUAUUUAUUUUGUCAUUGCACAUCCACUACAGUAGGUGGCAGUGGCGGCACUCUUAUAAUGCCAUAAUCAGUACAUGGAGUUAAAACUGUGCCAGUAAAGUCAUUCAAUGAAUUUAUAUUUCUUUUUUGGGUUUCUUUUAAUGCAAAUAAGGAUACAAUGUUAUGCAGAAGUGUACUGCUAACAAUUGUUACACAGCAUUGCAUUAGGGGGAGAGCCCCCACAGUUGUUUUUCGAUUUAAUACGGCGCAUUGAUACGCUUGCAACAUUAAAUGUAUUCUUUUUUUUUUUUAUUAUAUAUUUUUAUUUUGACUGUCAGUGUCUGACUUCCCUUUUAAUGGGCACUUUCUGUGAAGGUCAUUAGUUUUGGCUUGUAAAUUCUGCCUAGCAACAAGCGCAAAAUGUUCUAAAUCUAAACACACAAGGUCCAUUUAUGUGAGCUAAUUCCCCCCACAAAAAAGAUUUUGUUUUCCUUUCAAGAAAGCCACUUGAACUGAUGACAUUAUCGUGCUCAGCGCUCGAAGAGCAGUUAAUCUAAAACGUCACUGGGAUUCAUCUUGAGGGCUGUUUUUCCUCUUCCCCUCAUCUUGAGUGACAAGCGUAAAAAAAAGACGCAUUGUUGAUCUUUUUUUCUCCAGCUUUUGGCCAAACAGCGACGGACUCAGCCUCAGUAGUGUGUCACCAUUUCAAAGCUUAGCAACCUGCAUACGUUGGAGGCGACGGCACAGAAAAUGACUCAAGGGUGCAGGAUGGAAGUGGUGGAUUGAGGGGGGGGGGGGGGGGCUGACGCUUCCUUUUCAAGUGAUGAUUCAAAUGAUUUGCCCAAACAGACGCAAGUGGGGCACAUCGAGACCCUCUAGCAACGACUUCUUUCAGGAAUUAUCCGGGUUCUUUUCAUGUUUUCGCCCAGUACUUUCAAGAAAAGAUGCGGGCUGAAUCCACCUGGGCGGGGUGGGGGUUAAGCCGGGAUUGCCUGUGAAUUCAGAGCGAUCGCACACACCUGCGACUGACCCGCCAAAUCCCGCACACACAAGAUGGAAGAUCAGCUUUGGAGCUGAAACCAAUCCGCCCUCUUUAUCUGCGGUGGCCCACGGAGGACACCAGCCUCUCACUUGCCUGGCCGCCGCUAAAUAGCCAAACCCAAAGCCGGGAUGGAGCUUUCAGGAGUGAACUAAUCCUGCCGCAAAUGCUCUUACAAAAAUCACUUUUGGAAAUCUGAUGGAAUCGAUGUAAAGCUUCGCCGGGCCUGCAAGUGCGUGCCAAGCUUUAAGGGGAUGUGUCAGAUUUCGACCCAUAGUGGUGAUACGAGACCAGGGGUCAGGUAACCCCCAAGGAAAUAGCUCACCAGUGAUGGGGCAUUGUGAUUCCCCAAGAAUGUUGUCAAAGUCAUCAUUUUCAAACUCACAUUCUCACCUGUGGACAAUUUCUGGGUUAGGAAUGUUGACUCUUCACCUAAUCGUCGCUGUAUAUUUUUUUUUUCGGCCCAUUUCCAAAUUUGCACCACCUCACGGCGGGGGCAUUCUAAGUAUUCCAUUAGCGCAGCAUUAAGGCUUGCCGCGUUUGUUUUGCCGGAUGGAAAUGAUGGCAAUUUACAUCGGGCAAAAGAAGCUGAUUUAACUCUUCAUUAGCAUGCAAUGCUGCACGCUGGCUGCACUCAUGAAGCAGUGAGGAGCUGCUGCCCAGUUAUGAGCAUUUGUCAACAUAAUGAGGACUUACUGGGGAGACAUUCUACCCUCACGCCUCACUCCCCCACCCCCUAUUGGUAAACUCCAAUUUAUUCUCACUGCACGCCAGGUUGUCUCGGACCAAAAACGGAUGAAUUGUAAACACGUCUCACUCCAAUGGUACCAACGUAGGAUUCGCUGGCAGCUACUUGUUUUAUGCGGCCAUUGCGCUGCGAUUAUAUAUCUAAUGGGAAAGGAAGCUUAAAUACUGUGAUUGUUAAUAUUUUUGUCUGAAAAACUAAAAAGUUAAACAAAAAAAGGACUAAAAAUAGCCAGUGGGGCAAUGCAACCAAUGCUCCCUAAUACAAUACAUGCGAAGUGAUUGUGUCAAUUUUUUUUUUCUUUUUAAUGCUUUUUUCUUUCUUCUUCUGAAAGAGGAGUAAAUCCGUAAGAUUCUCUACUACAAUGUACUGUACUGACUUUUAUAAUUAAUAGAAACUGAAUUGAAAGAAGUGUCGCUUAUUAAAAAAAAAUACGAAGAAAACAAUGUUUCAUUUGAUCAGACCUUAUUUAAAAUUGAUCAAUUGAUUGAUCAUGUGACCUGUCGGCUCUUCAACUUUCUUGAUUUAAAAAAAAAAUGCGUGUGACUAGCAUUAGCCUCAUGCUAGCAUUUUU
This is a long non-coding RNA of Hippocampus zosterae (dwarf seahorse), 4387 nucleotides long. RefSeq lists it as uncharacterized. The transcript is spliced from 3 exons. NCBI's taxonomy places the organism in Eukaryota, Metazoa, Chordata, Actinopteri, Syngnathiformes, Syngnathidae. The record is from RefSeq and is a predicted model, not a curated record.